AGCAGCUGAAGUUGGAAGACAUCUCUGUUCCAUCAUUUAUAGGCAUGGUUGUCCCCAGAGAAUUCUCUCAGAUCAGGGAAGGGAAUUUGUAAAUGAUCUUAACCACAGGCUUUGUGAAAUGUUGUGCAUCAAAAGAAGUGUGACAGCAGCAUAUCAUCCUCAAACGAAUGGGCUGGAUGAAAAGACCAACGACAACAUUAAACGUAAUGAAGGUCUGGGCUGCAAAUGUCACUGGUCAGGUUGAAGCAGUUGUUGGGCCAUAUAAGCUCUAUGACUCUUCUUUUCACUCACUGCAAGGGGUCGAGUGGCUUUCUGAUGAAGUA
This is a long non-coding RNA of Rhinichthys klamathensis goyatoka, 323 nucleotides long. RefSeq lists it as uncharacterized. The transcript is spliced from 3 exons. Lineage: Eukaryota; Metazoa; Chordata; Actinopteri; Cypriniformes; Leuciscidae. The record is from RefSeq and is a predicted model, not a curated record.